RNAcentral lists this ribosomal RNA (253 nucleotides) under uncultured bacterium. RNAcentral describes it as "partial 16S ribosomal RNA". It matches the Rfam family "Bacterial small subunit ribosomal RNA", at positions 524 to 776 of the family's 1533-position model. The record is from RNAcentral.
UACAGAGGUGGCGAGCGUUGUUCGGAUUUAUUGGGCGUAAAGGGUCCGUAGGCGGUCCGGAAAGUUGGAUGUGAAAUCCUGCAGCUUAACUGCAGAACUGCAUUCAAAACUCCCGGACUCGAGUUUGAGAGGGGUAAAGGGAAUUCCCGGUGUAAGGGUGAAAUCUGCAGAUAUCGGGAAGAACACCAGUCGCGAAGGCGCUUUACUGGCUCACAACUGACGCUGAGGGACGAAAGCUAGGGGAGCAAACGGG